Molecule: long non-coding RNA, 978 nt
Organism: Bubalus bubalis (water buffalo)
Lineage: Eukaryota; Metazoa; Chordata; Mammalia; Artiodactyla; Bovidae
Exons: 2
Source: RefSeq, a predicted model, not a curated record
UCCGGUCAUGCAUUAUUAAACGCCGUAGUAUUCGCGGAGGCCGGAAGUUGAGGAGCAGAGCCAAAAGUGAUAGGGGCGGGUCUGAGAGUCCUCGGGCUCCUCCUCUAAAGGGUACUCAGUGAAGCUUUCAAGUACCGCGAUGGAGGGCCGUCCACUGUCAGCUAAAGGAGCUGAGAUCACAGCAUAGAUGUCAGUCUGGACUGUUGUCCCCAAAGGCGAAUUGUAGAAUGGCCAUCAGUGUGUGUAUGUGUGUUUACUCCUCUUCCAUUUCUCCUGUUUCUCCUUUCGACGGUGGUUAAGGCUCGUAUUAAUGGGGACGUGAGAAGUGGACUCGAAGACCGGUUACCGAGUGAUUUAGCAAAAUCUACUUUCCUGCCCUUUAUCUGCCACUUAAUUUACAUAGCCUUUAAACGACUUGCUUCCACACCGAUUCUCCUGCCUAGUCUCACUUAUCCCUUGUUAGUCGGCUACUUUUUAAAGACGUUGAGCCAUUCGUUUCCUGUUUGCUGCUAACCACUGCCAAGCAAAGCCUUGAGAGCCCCGCCUCGGGGGGCCCAGCCCGCCAAUUUGACAUGGUGGAUUAGUGCCCAGAAUAGUGAAGUGUAUUGGUGUAAUGCUUUUGAAUUUUUAAAGACCUCUUCAUAGACCACCAGAAGAAUGUAUGAAGUGAAGGGAAGUCGCUCAGUCGUGUCCGACUCUGCGACUCCAUGGAUUGUAGCCUAUCAGGCUCCUCCGUCCAUGGGAUUCCAGGCAAGAGUGCUGGAGUGGAUUGCCAUUUCCUUCUCCAAGAAGAAUGUAUAGGAGAGUAUAAUACAACCCAGAGAGGCCUGGGGAUGCUACAGCUGAACUCGCAGUUGGGGAACUCUUACCACCUAACUGGUUUGAGCAGGGCUUACUUACUGUACAGAGACCUGACAUACUGAAAAAGUUUCUCAUUUAUUUAUUUUUUAAAUAUAAAAAUAUAGGAGUCCUCUGCAA